UACGAAGGGGGCUAGCGUUGCUCGGAAUCACUGGGCGUAAAGGGUGCGUAGGCGGGUCUUUAAGUCAGGGGUGAAAUCCUGGAGCUCAACUCCAGAACUGCCUUUGAAACUGAAGAUCUUGAGUUCGGGAGAGGUGAGUGGAACUGCGAGUGUAGAGGUGAAAUUCGUAGAUAUUCGCAAGAACACCAGUGGCGAAGGCGGCUCACUGGCCCGAUACUGACGCUGAGGCACGAAAGCGUGGGGAGCAAACAGG
This 253-nucleotide ribosomal RNA is filed under the name uncultured bacterium. RNAcentral describes it as "partial 16S ribosomal RNA". It matches the Rfam family "Bacterial small subunit ribosomal RNA", at positions 524 to 776 of the family's 1533-position model. The record is from RNAcentral.